UGGGGAAUUUUGGACAAUGGGCGAAAGCCUGAUCCAGCAAUGCCGCGUGUGUGAAGAAGGCCUUCGGGUUGUAAAGCACUUUUGUCCGGAAAGAAAUCCUUGGCUCUAAUACAGUCGGGGGAUGACGGUGCCGGAAGAAUAAGCACCGGCUAACUACGUGCCAGCAGCCGCGGUAAUACGUAGGGUGCAAGCGUUAAUCGGAAUUACUGGGCGUAAAGCGUGCGCAGGCGGUUUGCUAAGACCGAUGUGAAAUCCCCGGGCUCAACCUGGGAACUGCAUUGGUGACUGGCAGGCUAGAGUAUGGCAGAGGGGGGUAGAAUUCCACGUGUAGCAGUGAAAUGCGUAGAGAUGUGGAGGAAUACCGAUGGCGAAGGCAGCCCCCUGGGCCAAUACUGACGCUCAUGCACGAAAGCGUGGGGAGCAAACAGGAUUAGAUACCCUGGUAGUCCACGCCCUAAACGAUGUCAACUAGUUGUUGGGGAUUCAUUUCCUUAGUAACGUAGCUAACGCGUGAAGUUGACCGCCUGGGGAGUACGGUCGCAAGAUUAAAAGCUCAAAUG
Molecule: ribosomal RNA, 560 nt
Filed under: uncultured bacterium
Lineage: Bacteria
Description: partial 16S ribosomal RNA
Rfam family: Bacterial small subunit ribosomal RNA
Source: RNAcentral